CUAUGUUGGCUGCAGGGUGCUGUAACGUGUGCAAUCUGCCCUUCGUGGUUCGGAAUAACUCGCCGAAAGGCGUUAUUAAUACCGGAUGAUGUCGUAAGACCAGAAGAUUUAUCGCCCAGGGAUCGAGGCCCGUCGUAAGAUUAGUGUACUUGGUGAGUAAAGGCUCACCAAGCCGACGAUCUUUAGCUGGUCUGAGAGGAUGAUCAGCCACACUGGGUACUGAUACACGGCCCAGACUCCUACGGGAGGCAGCAGUGGGGAAUAUUGGACAAUGUUGCGAAAGGCGCUGAUGAUCCACCAAUGCCGCGUGAGUGAUGAAGGGCCUUAGGGUUGUAAAGCUCUUUUACCCGGGAUGAUAAUGACAGUACCGGGAGAAUAAGCUCCGGCUAACUCCGUGCCAGCAGCCGCGGUAAUACGGAGGGAGCUAGCGUUGUUCGGAAAUACUGGGCGUAAAGCGCACGUAGGCGGCUCUGUAAGUCAGAGGUGAAAGCCUGGAGCUCAACCCAGAACUGCCUUUGAGACUGCAUCGCUUGAAUCCAGGAGAGGUGAGUGGAAUUCCGAGUGUAGAGGUGAAAUUCGUAGAUAUUCGGAAGAACACCAGUGGCGAAGGCGGCUCACUGGACUGGUAUUGACGCGAGGUGCGAAAGCGUGGGGAGCACAACAGGAGUUAGAUACCCUGGUGUCCGCCGUAAACGAUGAUAACUAGCUGUCCGCCACUUGGUGCUUGGGUGGCGCCAGCUAACGCGAUUAAGUUCCGCCUGGGGAGUACGCCGCAAGAUAAAACUCCAAGAAAGU
Molecule: ribosomal RNA, 795 nt
Filed under: uncultured bacterium
Lineage: Bacteria
Description: bacterial SSU rRNA
Rfam family: Bacterial small subunit ribosomal RNA
Source: RNAcentral